CAAGGCAGCUAAUAUUCUUCUUGAUCAUAAAUUUGAGGCAAAGGUUUCUGACUUUGGACUUGCCAAAAGUUUUUCUGAUGCUAGGUCUAUAAUUAGUCACACUUGCACCCAAGUGGUGGGAACUUUUGGGUAAGAUCAUAUUUCAUUGAUUAUUACAGUGCCAAAUCUUGUACUUUCUCACACCUAGUUGUCUAGUAAUGAAUUCCAAGUUAUU
Molecule: unclassified non-coding RNA, 214 nt
Filed under: Hevea brasiliensis (rubber tree)
Lineage: Eukaryota; Viridiplantae; Streptophyta; Magnoliopsida; Malpighiales; Euphorbiaceae
Source: RNAcentral